CAUGAAGUCGGAAUUGCUAGUAAUCGCGGAUCAGCAUGCCGCGGUGAAUACGUUCCCGGGCCUUGUACACACCGCCCGUCACACCAUGGGAGCCGGUAAUACCCGAAGUCAGGUAGUCCAACCUCGUGAGGACGCUGCCGAAGGUAGGAUUGGCGACUGGGGUGAAGUCGUAACAAGGUAGC
RNAcentral lists this ribosomal RNA (182 nucleotides) under uncultured bacterium. Its description in RNAcentral is "partial 16S ribosomal RNA". It matches the Rfam family "Bacterial small subunit ribosomal RNA", at positions 1319 to 1500 of the family's 1533-position model. The record is from RNAcentral.